This 553-nucleotide long non-coding RNA is filed under the name Mus pahari (shrew mouse). Its description in RNAcentral is "lncRNA (MGP_PahariEiJ_G0002742.1)". The record is from RNAcentral. Lineage: Eukaryota; Metazoa; Chordata; Mammalia; Rodentia; Muridae.
AUAAUGGAAAAAUCCAAACAAGGAAAAAAAAAAAAACAAAUUGGAUGUCGCAAAGAAAUACAACUCAGCUAAGUUUGCCAGAACAAUUCUGUUCUAUGUAGGAAUGCACCUCCUAACAACAAAAUCUGAAGACCCCCCACCAUAGCCACACACCCACAGGCACAGACACAGAGCUGAAUGUGCACUGAAGGAAAAUAAGACCAGAACUUGAUGCAGAACCUCACUAACCCCACCGACACUGACCUGCCAGGCCCUGACCUCCGCCUGGAAGCCUAGCCACUGGGGCUAAGACUCUUGAAGGACUCUUGAAAGAAGUUGGGGCCUCUGUAUGCAGGAGCUUCACCCAGAAGAAAACUUAGACAAGUCUUCACUGGUUUUGUUGCUUUAAGCAUUUUUUGGAGCUUGUUUCUGUUGAAUACUUUCUCCUCAUGAAGAGUUGUAAGUUCACUUCCUAAGUUUGUAUUAACUGUUUUCUUCUCUCCCUUGUCUGCAAGAUCUUCAGCUUUAAACAUCCGUUCCUCAUGUUGAAAUGAAAACGGUAUUUUAAAAAGCC